RNAcentral lists this long non-coding RNA (2903 nucleotides) under Nicotiana benthamiana. RNAcentral describes it as "long non-coding RNA (NBEN_LNC021671)". Lineage: Eukaryota; Viridiplantae; Streptophyta; Magnoliopsida; Solanales; Solanaceae. The record is from RNAcentral.
GAACCCCUAUUUUUACUUUUCUUUUUAAUUAAUAUUAUUUGAUGAAAGAACCCAUUUGUUCUCCUAAUUCCCUAACCUCUUGCCCCUUUGAGCGUACCCAGAACCUUACCUGCCUACAACCACCAUCGUCCCUGCCGCUAUCCACCAUCAACCUCCGUCGCAUCUGCCACUAUCCUGCCGUCAACCUCCGUCAACAUCUACAGAACCUCAAUUUUCUUUUUCCUUCACCUAUAAACUUUAUAUCCUCCACCAAAAAACAGCAAUAAUUCAAUUAAUCCAAGCUCCAUGUUUUCAAAUAGCCCCAAAAUUCUAGGAUUUUUUCCGAUUAAUCUCGACUACCACUUCUUGUUCCCGCUGAUCCCUAAUUCUAGAUUUUCGUUCGACUCUGCAAAUUUUCUGAUUUAUUUUGCAUGCUUGUCGUUUAUUCCUUUGGUAAUUUCUCAAUAGUUGAGCCAUAACGUGCAGAUUCCAUUAGUGAGAAAGAAAUUGCAACUGAUAGUUGUGGGAAACAUAGUUGUAAGUUUUCUUAAUCUCUUUUUAAUAUAAAUUUAGGAUAACAACAGUCGCCAGUCGUUCGAUUUUCCAUUGAAAGCAUGCCAAGUUUCAAUCGGGUACGUCUCUUGAACCUUAAUAUGUGCUUAACUCUAUUUUGUAUCAGAAUUUUUAUGCACUAGAUAAUCUGUAUGUAGGAUUAUUAUAUGUGUGAACUUGUUUAGAAUAUUGUGUCAAAUAGAUACUAUUACUUACACAGUCGCUAGUUGUGAUUUUGGAUGAAAAUUUCAGUUUUAAUGUCCCUUUUUAGUCGAUUCAGUGAUUUUUUGUUUUGUUUUUGGGAGUAAUGGAGCUAGUGUAAUUGAAUGGAGAUUCAAAUCCAUAUGACACAAGCAUGAAAACGUAUUUAUUCGGACUUAAAAGUUACUGGAACUUGGGUUUUUGUUUUUUAUUGAUUUUCUUAGUUUGGUUUUCAUGUAAAAUUUGUGUUACUGGUGAUUUUAAGGUGUCAAGUUUGAAUGUCAUUUCUUGUUGCUACUGUUCAAGUUUUUUGCGCAUAUUACUGCGUACUGUGGAGAAUAUUUGGUUCGCUUACUGUUGUCCAGGCUUGGAAUCCAGGUAUAUCUUAUUCUAUAGCUGAUCUGCUCUUCAAUUGUGUGAACGACACAGUAGGAUUCUUUUAUGUGCUAGUAAUUUUCUAGAACAUAUUAGUCUUCUUCUAUGAUUUUCGUCCCCUUCUACUUGCUCUUGUGUGUUGCUCUUGUGUGUUGUUCGCACUUGGUUAUGCCAAAUAUCGUGCGACUUUCCAUUGAAAGCAUGCCAAGUUUCAAUCGGGUACGUCUUUUGAACCUCAAUAUGUGCUUAACUCUAUUUUGUAUUGUAAUUUUUAUGCACUAGAUAAUCUGUAUGUAGGAUUAUUAUAUGUGUGGACUUGUUUAGAAUAUUGUGUCAAAUAGAUACUAUUACUUAGGCUUAACCAAAUAAGUAAUAACUUUGUGUAUGCGUAGAUUUUUUUAUUUUAUACUUAAGUUUCUGUCCUUCACUUAAACACCAUAUCUUAGGAUUGCAAGAGCUAACUUGAUGCUUCUUAAAUAAAAGUUCUGCCUAAGGAUGUAUGGUUGCUCUCUGUGAUUUGAUCUUAUUACUAGGAUAUGUUCACAUAAUUAUCAUGGUCAUAGGAUUUUAAUCACCGACAAGAGGGGUUGCUCUGAUGCUAAGCAACCCACAUUUCCAACCGAGAGGUUGUGAGUUUGAGUCUCCCCAAGAGCAAGGUGGGAAGUUCUUGGAGNNNNNNNNNNNNNNNNNNNNNNNNNNNNNNNNNNNNNNNNNNNNNNNNNNNNNNNNNNNNNNNNNNNNNNNNNNNNNNNNNNNNNNNNNNNNNNNNNNNNNNNNNNNNNNNNNUUCAUGGAGGGAAGGAUGCCGGGGGUCUAUAUGGAAACAACCUCUCUAUCCAAGGGUAGGGGUAAGGUUUGCAUACACACUACCCUGCCCAGACCCCACUAAGUGGGAUUAUACUGGGUUGUUGUUGUUGUUGUUGUAUAGGAUUUUAAUCGCCAUGGACCACGUUUAUGAUUCUGAAAUGAUUAACUUCAUUGUUUUAUAGGACAACUCAUGAUUUCUAUAUACAAAAAAAAUUGUCUACCAUCUACCUGUCUACUAUAGAUCUCUACUACCUCAAUAUGCUCGGUCGUAUGACUUUUUUUUAGCAAAUACUACUAGGGGGUCUGCCUUGAAUUUUCUGCCCGUGUGCAAGUACCUUUGAAACAGCUGAUUGUACCAAGUUGUUUAAUUUUGGGGUCUCCAAAGCAUCAUAACUAUUCUAUCAUGAUCUGAAAUUUGAGGCUCCUUAGUUGGUGUUAUAACAACAGUCUGGUUGGCAUGUUGAAUUUGUACGUUUGCAGCGUCACCUGAGACUGUUUUGGGAACAAAAACUGGAGCGUUAGAGUUGAGGUUGCUUUUACCACCUGAUCUUGGAGAUAUUUUGGUGCUUAAUGUAGUCUUGGAGAUAUUUUGGUGCUUAAUGUAGCGGUGAACCAACUGAAAGCAGUGAUUCGUCAUCACAUUCUUUAUUUUCAAUACCAUUGAAAUCACUGAAAUCGUCGUCUUCAUCUUCUUCAACUUUGUCAGCCCAAGUUAAGCCUUAGAUUGAUAUCAACACCCUUCCCGUCCUCUAAAAUUUUAAAACUUGUGUACUAGUAACAGUCAUUGGAGCAAUUUGUCGACCUCUGAAAUAUUUGAUUUUUACUGGUUUUUCUUCGCACCUGGUGAUGUAUUCUGCCUCACCAUUGUCCAACCUUCCUUCUUUGAAUUUUGCGCAGCUACUUUCUCCAAGUGAGAUGUAACAGACUUGCCUGAAGCAUCAAAAGCAUGUCCAGAUUUUCUUGUAGAAUGCACCUGGCCAGCUCUUUUUU